This 72-nucleotide transfer RNA is filed under the name Felis catus (domestic cat). It matches the Rfam family "tRNA". Rfam says of the family: Transfer RNA (tRNA) molecules are approximately 80 nucleotides in length. Their secondary structure includes four short double-helical elements and three loops (D, anti-codon, and T loops). The record is from Rfam by way of RNAcentral. Lineage: Eukaryota; Metazoa; Chordata; Mammalia; Carnivora; Felidae.
ACCCAGCUGGCUCAGUGGGAAGAGUGUCGGACUCUUGAUCUCAGGGUUGUGAGUUCAAGCCCCACGUGGGUG